RNAcentral lists this ribosomal RNA (252 nucleotides) under uncultured bacterium. RNAcentral's name for it is "partial 16S ribosomal RNA". It matches the Rfam family "Bacterial small subunit ribosomal RNA", at positions 524 to 776 of the family's 1533-position model. The record is from RNAcentral.
UACGAGGGGGCGAGCGUUGUUCGGAAUUAUUGGGCGUAAAGGGUGCGUAGGCGGUUCCGCAAGUCCUGUGUGAAAUCUUCGGGCUCAACUCGAAGUCUGCACGGGAAACUGCGGGGCUUGAGUGUGGGAGAGGUGAGUGGAAUUCCUGGUGUAGCGGUGAAAUGCGCAGAUAUCAGGAGGAACACCGGUGGCGAAGGCGGUUCUCUGGGCCUUACCUGACACUGAGGAGCGAAAGCGUGGGGAGCGAACAGG